UCCAGGGUGACCUGAAAUCUGAAGGAAGCCGGAGACAAAUUUCCGCCCCGAGGAACACGAAUCUCAUAAAAGGCUGUCUGUCUGGGGUGAGUCUGCAUAACAAGACGAAACCCCAACGACCAAAGGGGCAGGCAGUAAAUGAGGCGGGGAUAUGGAAAGGAAGUUUAUGCU
Molecule: non-coding RNA, 171 nt
Filed under: Halobacillus alkaliphilus
Lineage: Bacteria; Bacillati; Bacillota; Bacilli; Caryophanales; Bacillaceae
Source: RNAcentral